AUGGCAGAGGGUUACACAUAUUUUGCAGAGGGUGAAACUGACAAUGCUGAGCGUGACUCUAUCGAGGACCAGUUUGGUGUGGGGAGGGGUUUGUUCUUUCGACCCUUAGAGUCCAGAACACCAGGGCCUAGUGUCACAGCAUUACACACCCCACAGCUUACCUCUACACGUUAUAUAGAUCGUCCCAUGACAAGCCAAGUCGAGCAGAAUCCAGAUUUAAGCUCACUCAUUACACAGUUAGCUGAGAAGCUAGGUGAAUCCAUUACAGCUAAGCUACAAUCUGACAGGUGCACACACAACACCAGUACUCCUGUACAGCCCUCAGAGAUGACAUUGCCUAACGUCAAGGUUGUCAUGCAGUCAGACAUAAGAGAGCCUCCUAUAUUCAGGGGUGAUAGCUCAGACAAAUUCACAGUUCAUGAGUGGGAAAAUCUUAUGACUCUGUAUUUAAAGAAACGAGCUAUUCCAGUGAUUGAGCAUUCACAAGAAGUCCUGGCAAAGCUAAUGGGCAAAGCAGGGGAUGUGGUGAGGAUAAAGCUGCGUAACGACACAUCUAUUAACCAUACUGCGAAUCCCGAUGUGAUUUUUGACAUUCUGAAACAACACUUCAGCGAACUGACUUACUCAAACAUGCCUUUAGCAGAUUUCUACAAUACACUGCCCAUGCCAGGUGAAGAUGCUAUGGAAUACUGGAUACGGCUAAACAAAACAGUUGAUGUAGCAGAUGAAUAUCUGAAAAGGCAAGGCCGUGGCAUUGAUGACCCGGGCCAUGAAGUCAGUAUGAUGUUCAUCAAAUACUGCCCAGACCAGUCUCUUGCAAGUGUUUUCAAGUUCAAGUCUGCUGAGAAAUGGUCGGCACGUGAGAUCCAAGAGAGGCUUGAUGAGCACAUGCGGGGACAGAAAACUCAAGCUGCAACUGUUAGGCCACUUAAGGUGAGCACAGUAGAGCACAAAGUCCUUUCCCAGUGUCAUGUGCCUAUGGCUGAUAAUACACCAGCCUCAAACACCACUGUACCGUCUGUGUCAUCUCCGGUGCCAAUGACUACUGCGAGUGUUGACAAUGUCUGCAUGAGGAGUUUGGUGAACUUGUUAGACCGACUGGUUACACAGCAUACACAAGUGCCAGCUAACCCCAGAGCUCAAGCCGCAGUCCCUCACUCUUUUCAAAAGGUGUGCAGGGUAUGUAGGGCUUCUGAUCAUUCCACAUUGUCUCACUGCAGGCGAGAGAACAGGUGUUUAAAGUGCUUAUCGCCUGGUCACUGGAAGAGGGACUGUCCUGAUCAGACCAACCAGCGCCGCUCUCAAUCUGCCAACAGUGCUGGUGGACAGGAUCAACAGUUAAACUAG
Molecule: long non-coding RNA, 1347 nt
Filed under: Carassius auratus (goldfish)
Lineage: Eukaryota; Metazoa; Chordata; Actinopteri; Cypriniformes; Cyprinidae
Description: lncRNA (ENSCARG00000017925.1)
Source: RNAcentral